RNAcentral lists this transfer RNA (73 nucleotides) under Stegodyphus mimosarum. It matches the Rfam family "tRNA". Rfam says of the family: Transfer RNA (tRNA) molecules are approximately 80 nucleotides in length. Lineage: Eukaryota; Metazoa; Arthropoda; Arachnida; Araneae; Eresidae. The record is from Rfam by way of RNAcentral.
GCCUUCGUGGUGUAGUGGUCAGCACGAUGGAUGCUUAUUCCCGAGGUCGGUGGUUCGAGUCCCGGCGAAGGCG